This 254-nucleotide ribosomal RNA is filed under the name uncultured bacterium. Its description in RNAcentral is "partial 16S ribosomal RNA". It matches the Rfam family "Bacterial small subunit ribosomal RNA", at positions 524 to 777 of the family's 1533-position model. The record is from RNAcentral.
UACGAAGGGGGCUAGCGUUGCUCGGAAUCACUGGGCGUAAAGCGCACGUAGGCGGAUCUUUAAGUCAGGGGUGAAAUCCUGGAGCUCAACUCCAGAACUGCCUUUGAUACUGGGGAUCUCGAGUCCGGAAGAGGUGAGUGGAACUCCGAGUGUAGAGGUGAAAUUCGUAGAUAUUCGCAAGAACACCAGUGGCGAAGGCGGCUCACUGGCCCGGUACUGACGCUGAGGUGCGAAAGCGUGGGGAGCAAACAGGG